Molecule: ribosomal RNA, 330 nt
Filed under: uncultured bacterium
Lineage: Bacteria
Description: bacterial SSU rRNA
Rfam family: Bacterial small subunit ribosomal RNA
Source: RNAcentral
UGUGUAGGCGGCUUUUUAAGUUUGGUGUGAAAUCUCCCGGCUCAACCGGGAGGGUGCGCCGAAUACUGAGAGGCUAGAGUGCGGGAGAGGAAAGUGGAAUUCCUGGUGUAGCGGUGAAAUGCGUAGAUAUCAGGAGGAACACCGGUGGUGUAGACGGCUUUCUGGACCGUAACUGACGCUGAAACACGAAAGCGUGGGUAGCAAACAGGAUUAGAUACCCUGGUAGUCCACGCCCUAAACGAUGCAUAUUUGGUGUGGGUCAUUCAGUUGAUCCGUGCCGGAGCUAACGCGUUAAAUAUGCCGCCUGGGGAGUACAGUCGCAAGGCUGAA